Aptenodytes forsteri (emperor penguin) is the source of this 1307-nucleotide long non-coding RNA. RefSeq lists it as uncharacterized. The transcript has 2 exons. Lineage: Eukaryota; Metazoa; Chordata; Aves; Sphenisciformes; Spheniscidae. The record is from RefSeq and is a predicted model, not a curated record.
GCCUCGCUGGAGGAGAGGGCCCGGGGCUAACGCCCAGCUAUCAGGUAAAAUCGGAGACCGAGAGAUCGGAGAUGCAGACGGAUUCAAGAAAAACUGUUGAAAACAGAUUGUUAGUCAGCCUUAUGGAUCUCAGCGAAGGACAUGUUUUUCCUACUGGAAGAGAGCCAUGAUGUAGAAAUAGACUGAAAUCAAGAAAGAGGGCUGCAGCCGUAGCUUAGGCUGUAUAUUUAAACAUUUUUGCUGUCAGACCAUCUGGGCCUGGAGCUAAAUUUACCUACAAAUUAUUUUCAAUGUUUCUACUUCUUGAGAGUUGAAAGGUGCACUUGACACUUUAUGCCAGGAGGAAAGAUAAAAUAAAUGUCCUGGGUCAGAUUUUCCCAGUGUCAGACCUGUGUGUGGUUUUGGAUGCCUAAUCUGUCUGCAACUCCUCACUUUAAGCCCAGGCCGGGUGCUCUGCGCACACAGAGCCCCUCCACAGCCAACACAAAAACUUGACUUGCAUUCUUGCUCCUCGUAACUCUGGGGUUUUUUCUGCAAUGCAAAUGCACUCACAUCUUUUGCACUCACAUCUUUUUCUGCCCUUUUUUUUUUUUUUUUUGUUACUGACUUUUUUUUUUUGAACCAUGGCUAAAGGAAGACUAUGGGGGAUCCAGGAAGUCUAGUUUCUGACUCAGCUCAGUCAAAUUUGCUCGGUGACUCUCGCGCACCUGGAUCCCAGGAGAAAGCCUCAAACUCAGAGCUCUGCAGAACCGCCUGACAGAGGAAGUGGAGAGGAGUCUGUUGAGUCAAACUGAUGCAGAAAAAGCGAGAAGAACUGGAGUGCUAACCUAAAUUGUGGAGUUCCUACAAAAACUACCACAAACAGCCGAACCCGUAAUUUUUGCAUGUUACCCAAAAUCAUUAAAUUGCAACAACAGCUCAUCUAGCUGGAGUCAAGUCAACAGUAAUAGCUGUUGGGACAAGAAAAAGAAACCCAGUGGAAAAUUCUCUGACAGCUGCUUCUGAAUAUUUGAGAUCUACUCAGCUGAAUGUGUGAGCUGAGCAAAGGCCUUUUGAAAAUUUGAACAUUCAAAAUGAAAUUGUUGAAUUAUUGGAGGCAUAGUCUUUGACUAGCUCUACUUCCAGGAGUAGACCAAUGUAACCUGUGAAAAGUGAAUAGUAACUCUUGAUUUUAUGUAAAAAUGACAAAAGGGGGAUUUUGUUGUUAUAAUAAUGAUUAUUUAGUUAAUGUGAUAAAUGCACCUAAAAAGAGUCUGAUUUGACCCAAUACUUAAAAUAAAUCAAGUUAUGAAAUUUCUACUUGCAAA